AACGCGAAGAACCUUACCCAGGUUUGACAUGUGCUUGACCGCGACAGAAAUGUCGUUUUCCGAAAGGACAAGUACACAGGUGCUGCAUGGCUGUCGUCAGCUCGUGCCGUGAGGUGUUGGGUUAAGUCCCGCAACGAGCGCAACCCUUAUCACUAGUUGCCAGCACUUCGGGUGGGAACUCUAGUGAGACUGCCUGGGUUAACCAGGAGGAAGGUGAGGAUGACGUCAAGUCAGCAUGGCCCUUAUGUCUGGGGCGACACACGUGCUACAAUGGCCGGUACAGAAGGCAGCAAGACCGCAAGGUGGAGCAAAUCCCAAAAGCCGGCCUCAGUUCGGAUUGUAGUCUGCAACUCGGCUACAUGAAGUUGGAAUUGCUAGUAAUGGCGCGUCAGCCAUAGCGCCGUGAAUACGUUCCCGGGCCUUGUACACACCGACGCAC
Molecule: ribosomal RNA, 439 nt
Filed under: uncultured bacterium
Lineage: Bacteria
Description: bacterial SSU rRNA
Rfam family: Bacterial small subunit ribosomal RNA
Source: RNAcentral